Molecule: ribosomal RNA, 495 nt
Filed under: uncultured bacterium
Lineage: Bacteria
Description: partial 16S ribosomal RNA
Rfam family: Bacterial small subunit ribosomal RNA
Source: RNAcentral
GACGUACGCUGGCGGCGUGCCUAACACAUGCAAGUCGAACGCUGAAGGAGGAGCUUGCUGUGCUGGAUGAGUUGCGAACGGGUGAGUAACGCGUAGGUAACCUGCCUGGUAGCGGGGGAUAACUUUUGGAAACGAUAGCUAAUACCGCAUAAGAGUAAAUGUUGCAUGACAUGGGCUGAAAAGGUUCAAUUGCAGCACUAGCAGAAGGACCUGCGUUGUAUUAGCUAGUGGGUGGGGUAACGGCUCACCAAGGCGACGAGACAUAGCCGACCUGCGAGGGGGCUCGGCCUCACUGGGACGGUGACACGGCCCAGACGCCUGCGGGUGGCAGCCGUAGGGAACCUUCGGGAAGAGCCGGAAGUCUGACCAAGCGACGCCGCGUGAGGGCCGAAGGUUUUCGUGUCGUGAAGGUCUGUUGUAAGAUAGGAACGAGGGUGAGAGUGGAAAGUUCACACAGUGACGGUACCUUACCAGUAAGCGCCGGCUAACUACGUG